Molecule: ribosomal RNA, 253 nt
Filed under: uncultured bacterium
Lineage: Bacteria
Description: partial 16S ribosomal RNA
Rfam family: Bacterial small subunit ribosomal RNA
Source: RNAcentral
UACGUAGGGUGCAAGCGUUAUCCGGAAUUAUUGGGCGUAAAGCGCUCGUAGGCGGUUUGUCGCGUCUGCUGUGAAAACUGGAGGCUCAACCUCCAGCCUGCAGUGGGUACGGGCAGACUAGAGUGCGGUAGGGGAGAUUGGAAUUCCUGGUGUAGCGGUGGAAUGCGCAGAUAUCAGGAGGAACACCGGUGGCGAAGGCGGGUCUCUGGGCCGAUACUGACGCUGAGGAGCGAAAGCGUGGGGAGCGAACAGG